RNAcentral lists this ribosomal RNA (1283 nucleotides) under Alternaria alternata. Its description in RNAcentral is "SSU rRNA". It matches the Rfam family "Eukaryotic small subunit ribosomal RNA", at positions 75 to 1370 of the family's 1831-position model. Lineage: Eukaryota; Fungi; Ascomycota; Dothideomycetes; Pleosporales; Pleosporaceae. The record is from RNAcentral.
UAUACCGUGAAACUGCGAAUGGCUCAUUAAAUCAGUUAUCGUUUAUUUGAUAAUACCUUACUACUUGGAUAACCGUGGUAAUUCUAGAGCUAAUACAUGCUGAAAAUCCCGACUUCGGAAGGGAUGUGUUUAUUAGAUAAAAAACCAAUGCCCUUCGGGGCUUUUUGGUGAUUCAUGAUAACUUUACGGAUCGCAUAGCCUUGCGCUGGCGACGGUUCAUUCAAAUUUCUGCCCUAUCAACUUUCGAUGGUAAGGUAUUGGCUUACCAUGGUUUCAACGGGUAACGGGGAAUUAGGGUUCGAUUCCGGAGAGGGAGCCUGAGAAACGGCUACCACAUCCAAGGAAGGCAGCAGGCGCGCAAAUUACCCAAUCCCGACACGGGGAGGUAGUGACAAUAAAUACUGAUACAGGGCUCUUUUGGGUCUUGUAAUUGGAAUGAGUACAAUUUAAACCUCUUAACGAGGAACAAUUGGAGGGCAAGUCUGGUGCCAGCAGCCGCGGUAAUUCCAGCUCCAAUAGCGUAUAUUAAAGUUGUUGCAGUUAAAAAGCUCGUAGUUGAAACUUGGGCCUGGCUGGCGGGUCCGCCUCACCGCGUGCACUCGUCCGGCCGGGCCUUCCUUCUGAAGAACCUCAUGCCCUUCACUGGGCGUGCUGGGGAAUCAGGACUUUUACUUUGAAAAAAUUAGAGUGUUCAAAGCAGGCCUUUGCUCGAAUACGUUAGCAUGGAAUAAUAAAAUAGGGCGCGCGUUUCUAUUUUGUUGGUUUCUAGAGACGCCGCAAUGAUUAACAGGAACAGUCGGGGGCAUCAGUAUUCAGUUGUCAGAGGUGAAAUUCUUGGAUUUACUGAAGACUAACUACUGCGAAAGCAUUUGCCAAGGAUGUUUUCAUUAAUCAGUGAACGAAAGUUAGGGGAUCGAAGACGAUCAGAUACCGUCGUAGUCUUAACCGUAAACUAUGCCGACUAGAGAUCGGGCGAUGUUCUUUUUCUGACUCGCUCGGCACCUUACGAGAAAUCAAAGUUUUUGGUUCUGAGAGAUUAUGGUCGCAAAGCUGAAACUUAAAGAAAUUGAGGAAAGUCACCACCAGGCGUGGAGCCUGCCGCUUAAUUUGACUCAACACGGGGAAACUCACCAAGUCCAGAUGAAAUAAGGAUUGACAGAUUGAGAGCUCUUUCUUGAUUUUUCAGGUGGUGGUGCAUGGCCGUUCUUAGUUCGUGGGGUGACUUGUCUGCUUAAUUGCGAUAACGAGCGAGACCUUACUCUGCUAAAUAGCCAGGCUAACUU